This 245-nucleotide unclassified non-coding RNA is filed under the name uncultured Sordariales. RNAcentral's name for it is "sequence contains ITS2". The stretch from base 1 to 52 matches the Rfam family "5.8S ribosomal RNA", at positions 103 to 154 of the family's 154-position model. Lineage: Eukaryota; Fungi; Ascomycota; Sordariomycetes; Sordariales. The record is from RNAcentral.
AACGCACAUUGCGCCCGCCAGUAUUCUGGCGGGCAUGCCUGUCCGAGCGUCAUUUCAACCAUCAAGCCCCCGGCUUGUGUUGGGGACCUGCGUCCGACGCAGGCCCUGAAAACCAGUGGCGGGCUCGCUGUCCACACCGAGCGUAGUAACUAACCUCGCUGCGGAGUGGCGCGGGCGCCUGCCGUAAAGCCCCCAAUUUUUACAAGGUUGACCUCGGAUCAGGUAGGAAUACCCGCUGAACUUAA